CCUACGGGGGGCAGCAGUGGGGGAUAUUGCACAAUGGGGGAAACCCUGAUGCGGCGACGCCGCGUGGGCGAAGAAGUAUUUCGGUACGUAAACCUCUUUUGCCGGGGAGCAAGAGCGGGGACGUGUCCCGGCCCGGAGAGUACCCGGAGAAAAAGCAUCGGCUAACUCCGUGCCAGCAGCCGCGGUAAUACGGAGGAUGCGAGCGUUAUCCGGAUUUAUUGGGUUUAAAGGGUGCGUAGGCGGGCUUUUAAGUCAGCGGUAAAAAUUCGGGGCUCAACCCCGUCCGGCCGUUGAAACUGGGGGCC
This 305-nucleotide ribosomal RNA is filed under the name uncultured bacterium. RNAcentral describes it as "partial 16S ribosomal RNA". It matches the Rfam family "Bacterial small subunit ribosomal RNA", at positions 338 to 641 of the family's 1533-position model. The record is from RNAcentral.